UUUUGUAUUUUAUGUAACGUCUGUAUAAUACAUGUAGUGUGAAUAAAUCGUUACUGUUAUUUUCUACAAAGAUGCUUGUUAACUUAUAAAUAAUGAACGCUCGGAAUUCAACAUUUAUAACAACAAAAGAGAGCCAUGUUUUAUCUAGCAUUGGUGAUAUGAGAAAUAAUACUAAAUUGAUAUAGCAAAGGUUUCCUGGUGCAAAGGUUAAUGGUGAAUGAAAAUACAAUUUUUCUUAAAUAUGUUUAUUGGUUUUGAAACUUUUUUUAUUAAUAAAUAACAUCAUAAUAAUGGACAAAGCACUUCAUUAUUUCAAUAGUAUUUUUCAAACUACAUGGUAUAUAAAACGAAUUUUGUAGAUACAAAAAAAAACUAGGUUCACCAUUGACAAAAUUUGUAUGAAAAAGUUAAAUUGAUGUAAAAAAACAUGGAACAGAAAGUCAAUCUAUGUAUUAAAUACUUGUCUUCAACGUGUACAGACAAAGACAAAACAACUACUUAGUUAAAAGUUUGAAUGCUAAGUUGUUUUGUUACUUAUAGUAUGCAUGUUACAUGCUUUAACAAAAGAAAUUUUCCUAGAGCACAAAUGUCUGUACAAGAUUCCCCUAAAAUCGACAUGAUAAUUGUCAGAUCAAACAUGUGAGAUUAAGGGAGAUAAUUUCUAUUUACAAAUCAGUGAAGUAUUGAAUUGUGUCCCUUUUUGUUGUAAUAAGAAUCCAAGACAAUUUGAAAUAUCAUCAAUUUGGGCUUNNNNNNNNNNNNNNNNNNNNNNNNNUUCAA
RNAcentral lists this long non-coding RNA (780 nucleotides) under Mytilus galloprovincialis (Mediterranean mussel). The record is from RNAcentral. Lineage: Eukaryota; Metazoa; Mollusca; Bivalvia; Mytilida; Mytilidae.